Molecule: ribosomal RNA, 307 nt
Filed under: uncultured bacterium
Lineage: Bacteria
Description: bacterial SSU rRNA
Rfam family: Bacterial small subunit ribosomal RNA
Source: RNAcentral
AUCAACGCUGGCGGCGUGCCUCAGACAUGCAAGUCGAACGCGAAAUUUCCCUUCGGGGAGAAAGUAGAGUGGCGCACGGGUGAGUAACACGUAGGUAAUUUGCCUUUGGGUGGGGAUAACUCAGGGAAACUUGAGCUAAUACCGCAUAAUGCAGCGGCUCGACAUCGAGACAGUUGUUAAAGCGGGGGAUUGGAGCAAUCCGACCUCGCGCCUAAAGAGAAGCCUGCGGCAGAUUAGCUAGUUGGUAAGGUAAUGGCUUACCAAGGCGACGAUCUGUAACCGGCCUGAGAGGGCGGUCGGUCACACU